Acinonyx jubatus (cheetah) is the source of this 4460-nucleotide long non-coding RNA. RefSeq lists it as uncharacterized. The record is from RefSeq and is a predicted model, not a curated record. Lineage: Eukaryota; Metazoa; Chordata; Mammalia; Carnivora; Felidae. The transcript is spliced from 3 exons.
AUUAGCCCAAAGGCUGCCGAGUAAUUUAUGCAGCCAACAGGGCCAGGAGGGAGGGAAGGCCCACGCUGCCAGCUCAGUGUGGCCUCCCAGGGGCUGGCAGAGGCCAGCCUGGCCAUCAGGAGCCUCUGUCUCUGGGGUCUUCUCUUUCUGGACUCAGCCUCCAGGGCUGUUGGCAGGCCUUCCGGAACCAUCGCUGACCCCCGCCUCACCACACUCCACAGACCCACAUGGCUGCCGCUGGGGACCUGCUAAGUGCCGGGGGCCUGCUGGGGAGAAGUUCAAGCAUUUCAUCCUGUCAACCCCAAGCCUUCCCAGGUGAGGAAUGAAUGUGCUGAGAGCUCAGGCCCCGGUCCAGGACCUGCAGGGCCAAGCUGGGAAGAAAUCCAAUUACCCGCUGCAUUCCCAGGCAGCAGCCUCCUCUGGGAAAUCAGCGAGUGGACAGGGGGAUGAGACCUUUGCAAAGGCUGGAGUCAUCCCAGGCUGCCCACCGGGAGCACAGGCCCCCGUCCGCAGGGGUGAGGAACGCAGCUAUACAGGCGAGACCUCGGGAUAGAGCACUGUUGGGAUUUUGCUGGGUGCCUGACACAACACUUUGCGUUUUACCUGUGUUCGCCUCUUUGUCCUCACAGAAGCCCCGUGACGCAGAUGCAAUUGUCACCUCUAUUUUACAGAGGCUGGAACUGAGGCACAGAGAGGUGAAGGAGAUUUCCCAGAACCACCAAGAUUUGAAGGCCACCAAGAGCCCACUUGCCACAACAGCCACCCAAGAGACGGGUCACUCAAAAACGCGUCCUUUGAGUAAGGGUAGAAAAACCCAAGUGUGAAGGAGAAAAGUGUCCAGGGCCCGUGGCUACCGUCGGCAGCUCUCUGGGGACUUGGCAGGGGACAGGAGAGCAGCCCUUUCCCCAGGCUCUAAAGAAGAGACACGGGAAUAGUUUGGGAACUACAGGGUGACAUUUGGUUCUGUGCAAAGUCUCAGUGGACAGACUUUAAAUAUCGUGCAAUAAGCAUUUAAAAAAUGCAACAGGCGGGGCGCCUGGGUGGCUCAGUCGGUUAAGCGGCCGACUUCGGCUCGGGUCAUGAUCUCGCGUCCGUGAGUUCGAGCCCCGCGCCAGGCUCUGUGCUGACAGCUCGGAACCUGGAACCUGCUUCCGAUUCUGUGUCUCCCUCUCUCUGACCCUCCCCUGUUCAUGCUCUGUCUCUCCCUGUCUCAAAAAUAAAUAAAACGUUAAAAAAAAUUUUUUAAAAAUGCAACAGGCUCCCGUACCCAGCAGUAUAGCUACUCUAGAGGUAAGCCCAGGAAGGCAGAAGAAUAAAAUCAGAAUUAACCUAAAUGCCUUUCAUUAAGAGAAUGUAGGAAGAGAGAAGGAAGAGAGGAAGGAAGGAAGGAAGAAAGGGAGGGAGGGAGGAAAAAACAAUUACAGUAGUUUACUAUGCAAAACCAUGACUAGAUUUCCUAGAUCCAAUGUUAAGUGAGAAAAGCAUUGACCGAAUGAUCCGUAACCAUUUGUUUGAACACACACACACACACACACACACACACACACGUACCCAUUACAAUGGCACAUAUUCCUACAGGUUCUGUGUGUCAAUGCAUAGAAAAAUAUCCAGAAGGCUAUAUGCCAAAGUACUAACAGUGAUGAUUAACCCUGCAGAGGAGGCUGGAAUGUUGUGGUUAUCCAGGAAGAGAAUACUUAGCUGUUUAAAUAAUAUUUGACGUUUUUGCAACGAAAAGGUACAUUUGUAUAUUCCAUACACGAUUAAAACUUAGUAAAACAAUAUAAGAAAAGACACGGUGGGCUGCCUGGGGAACCAGUAAACUCCCUGUCCCUGGCAGUAUGAAAGCAUCCACACUGGGGUGGAGGGAUUCGAAAAACCGUGAAGAAAACAAGGGUAGGUGGGUUAGCUGGCCCUUCGGAACCUCAGAGCCUUAUCAGGGCAGUAGGAGCAAAGCCCUUAUUCUUCCUGCACCAAGAGUGGCUUUCAGGAAGCACAGAGCAUCGGACACUAGAGGAGGGAGAGGCCGUGGACCCUCACUGUGACUUGGGCAGAGACGCACAGGCCAGUCUCUCCACCCCCCUUCCCUCCCAGGGACUCCUAGCUCUAGGCUCUCAGUCCCAGCAGCCCCCAGCCACCGGCCAGCAUGCCUAGUGUUAGCCUCAGACUCCCAGCGUAGGGGCUGUGUCUCUGCGAGGACCUCACGCUGGGGACAAGAAUUCAGGACAGAAGGAGGAGAAGAAAUGCUCAUAAAGCUGACUGCCCCUGUGACACCGAGCCCAAGCCAUGGCCAUGGCCGUGGCCGCAUGGUGAGCCCUAAUCCACAACAGGCUGAGCCCCAGCCCCAGCCAGCCUCUGACCCCCGACAAUAUAAAAAGCAAAGGUCAAUGAAGCUCUUACCUCACCUGGCAAGACAGCAAUGAGAUCGAGACAAGAGCCAAGAGACAUGGGUCUGAGUCCCAGCACCUGCCCUUGACUUCUCCUAAGAGACCCUGACAAAGUCACUGAGCCCCAUGGCACCUCAACCCUCUCCUCUGCACAAUGGGCGGAGGGUGGCUAACUCCCAAGCCGGCUGCGUAGCUCAAAUGAGACAUCGUCCACAUAGUCUCUUUGUGGGCUCCCACAAAACGUACGGCCCCAUCCAGGCCACGGAUACAGGGCACUGAGGAACGAAGGUGGCCACGACAGAGCUCCAAAAGCAGUUAGACUUGCUGCAAAUCUGAAGCCCAGAGGCAGCCAGAAAGGGGCCCGUUUGUGGCCCCAGGCAGGGACCAGGAAGGAACACACAGAAGGAUCCUCCAGGCGGACAGAGACAAGGACGCGCGAGGAGACAGGAGCCAGCCUUCUCCCCGGACCUGUGGCCACACACAGGCCCGGGCACACCACGGGCUGUUCCCAGCAGCCCCCAGACAGGGCGGGCUGGCUCCUCUCCUCCCCAGGCUGAGACCACCGCAGUGACACUCACCUGGCUAGCCCCGGAUGGGACACCCACCGUCCGUCAUCGCCUCAACCAAGAGUUCACUCCUCAAGCCACACCCGCAGGCCUCAGCCCUGACCCAGCAGAGGGUGGGUGUGGGAAGCCACUUCAGGCGGCUGUCCACUGUUCACCUCCUGUUCGGACCCCACGCCAUCGCGCCCAGUGCCUGGUCAACCCCCCACCUCAGCCUCAGACCUCAGCCUUCCCUCCUCCUGCCCACAUUCCCUGGCAUGGCUCUGGACUCCUUGGGGGCGGCCGGGACACCCCCUUUGACAGUUCAUAGCACGGGUAGCAUCAGGCAGCGGGGACACGAAGGCUCCACCAUGGCCAGCCAACCAUGACAGGUGCCAACCCACUGACCAGAACAGCCUGGGAAGGCCUGCUGCUCACACCUGAGGAUUGAUUGCCUGCCCGUCCAGCCAGAAGGGACCCAGGGGCCACCAGGCACCAGCAGAAUCAUGGGGCUGGCUGCCUCAACUGGGACAAGGAUAGGCCGGCUCACCAACAACUUACCCCACUGGGCACCAAGAAACUGCCUUCCUGGAGGCUGAAGACCGAAAGGAAACACCACUUGGAUGGCCCCUUCGGUCGUUUAAAGCACCUCCUAAGCUGUGACUUUAUCUCCCACCUCAGGACCUCCGCCUCCAGAAUAGUCUUCAAGUCCUGACUCAGCCUGGCAUCCAGGGCCCUCCCGGUCGGGCUCCCAGAACUAUCUCCUCUACCUUUUCGCAAACACCCAAGACCACUUCCCUGAACCACCCGAUCCUCAGGUCGUCUGCCUUUGCACAUACUGUUCCCAGGGCCCGAACUUUCCUGCCUUCUUUCUCCACCUGGCAAACUUCUACUCUCCCUUCGAGGUCCAGCUCUAUGUCUCUUCUUCCAGGAAGCCUAACGGGCUCUCCCUCUCCCACCCCUCCCCUCCCCGCCACAUCCCUGAGCAAGUAGGGCACUUCCCACUUUCAAUCACAGUUACGAUCUGGGCCAGAGCUCCUCACGCUAUUUGUGAAAGAGAUUUUUUUUUUUUUUUUUAAGUUUUCCAAUCUGUUGCCAACUGAUGCUUUUGUAAGUUACAAUAAAGAAUGACACAGCAAUGUCAAGUUGCAGUAGGAGUUUUUCAUCACUUACUCUCAAUGUUGUACCUACCUCGCUGCACACCAGUAACACACAGCCCAGAGAUGGGGAGAGGUCUAGCAGACCACCCUCUCUUUGGGUUCGGGGCCCAUCGAAUCAUGUGUUUAUGUUUGGUCCUCCAGAGCCCAAGGGGCACUCCCCGAUCUGCUGUCCCAAAUAUUGGCCGGGAAGGGCCCAACAACCCUGUAACAUGGGCAGCACCCGUGCUAUGCGGCCCCAUUUCUCAGACGAGCACACAGAGGCACAGAGAGGAUGAGCGGCCUGGCCAACGCUGUACUUUCUCAGGACUACCCAGCAUCACAGGGGCAGGUGCUUGGGCCCAGGAACUUUUCCAGCCGACCCUCCUUCCCAGCAC